Long non-coding RNA from Asparagus officinalis (garden asparagus), 777 nucleotides. RefSeq lists it as uncharacterized. The transcript is spliced from 2 exons. NCBI's taxonomy places the organism in Eukaryota, Viridiplantae, Streptophyta, Magnoliopsida, Asparagales, Asparagaceae. The record is from RefSeq and is a predicted model, not a curated record.
CGCGCUGCCCCUGCUUGCUCGCCGCCGCCUCUAUAUAAAUGGUCAAAACUAGUUUGAUCAAUAACUUUUGAAAAUGGUGUUUUCAAAACACAUUUGAAAAAACAUCAUGGCAUGAUGUUUUUCUACAAAAACACAACAAGAAAAUCACCUUGAUUACCAAACACCAUAUAAAAUUUUGCCUUUAUUGACAUUUUGUGGCAAAGAAAGUUGCUAUUCCGUUACCAAAUGGAACAAUGAAGAGCAUAAUCUAUCUAUUUACCUUUUUUGUCGUUACUCACUUGUUUUUUCAGGCUAUACAAUAUAAGAAUGUCUUGGCCAUGGCAAGUUAUGAACUAGCCGAGGUUGUUCAUGGUUUCCUUGAUAUGGUAUUGCGAAUAUUGCUUAUUGUCACAACUAUUACUCUUGUGCAUAACUUGUCUCCUCCCAAGGGAUCUUCUUGAGCAGAAAUAGCAAUGUUUCACUCGCAUUUGGUAACAAUCUGACGGAGGUCUUUAGAGAAGUAUUUAUACUGACAAUUGUUACUGCACAAGCUGUGUUUUGGCCUUUAAGGUUUUAGUUUCAAAGUGCUCAGUUUCGGAAUAGUUUACAAAUCUUAGAGUGGAACUAUGAUUUUUUUACUAUCUUCAAUUUGUGUAUGUGCCUGUGAGCGAUGCUGCUGGCAACAGUUUAAGAUUGUCGAUGCUGCUGGCAACAGUGCAAGUUAUGGCUUAUAUAUUUAACAUGCUUGAGAGUAGUCACAAGUGAAUCAGUAUUAUCUGCUUGCUGUUGUUUUUUAAA